GUGCCUCAGAGAAUUUCGAGUCCGCAUCAUCCACUUGAGAAUCUUGUUCAUGUUCUUGCUCUUCUUGAUCAAUUGCUAGUAACUCAUCAAGUUCAUUAUCCACGCCAUCGUUAUCAUUGCCAUUUUCAGUGUCAAGAUCAGAGGCAAUUGCAAUGGUGGUGGUGGUGAAGAAUGAGAUGAGUAGAAGGAGAGAGAGGGUGAAAAGGAUGAAUCUUGAAGUGGGUUUUGCGGGAAACAUGGAAACCGAGUGAUUUUGAUUUCUGGGUACUUGAGAAUAUGCAGUGAGAUUCAAUAAGAGAUCUGGACUUGUGAGGGUUUUGCGUGAAAAGAUUUUUAACUAAAACAAUGCGAAAUGAAGAUGCAAGGGGAGCUGUCGACAGUCAAAGAAACUACUAAAGUUAUGGACAUGUACCCCUUUGGUCCUCUUUUUUGUUCUUGUUUUAUUUAUAUUUAUUUUUUUUCCAAAAGAAAUACUAAUUCCAAUGAUCCAAAACUUUCGCUUUUUUUUUUUUUUUUUUUUUUUUUGGAGUGUCAAGAUCAGAGGCAAUUGCAAUGGUGGUGGUGGUGAAGAAUGAGAUGAGUAGAAGGAGAGAGAGGGUGAAAAGGAUGAAUCUUGAAGUGGGUUUUGCGGGAAACAUGGAAACCGAGUGAUUUUGAUUUCUGGGUACUUGAGAAUAUGCAGUGAGAUUCAAUAAGAGAUCUGGACUUGUGAGGGUUUUGCGUGAAAAGAUUUUUAACUAAAACAAUGCGAAAUGAAGAUGCAAGGGGAGCUGUCGACAGUCAAAGAAACUACUAAAGUUAUGGACAUGCACCCCUUUGGUCCUCUUUUUUGUUCUUGUUUUAUUUAUA
This 849-nucleotide long non-coding RNA is filed under the name Citrus sinensis (sweet orange). RNAcentral describes it as "long non-coding RNA (CSIN_LNC000298)". The record is from RNAcentral. Lineage: Eukaryota; Viridiplantae; Streptophyta; Magnoliopsida; Sapindales; Rutaceae.